CGCUGCCAGAGUGAUCUUUUAAAAAUCCAGGCGUCUCAAGUGGCUAAAGAAUAAAUGCAUGAAAAUUAAGAGCCAGCUCUGCCUGCGAAAGAGAACAGGAGCAAGCUGGCUGUUGGCUGUCAUCUGGAGUCACCUACUGGGAAGUGCCGAAUCACCCCAGACCAAGGACAGGAAGGAGGCUUGGUCUUCUGGUUGAGUGAGGAAGAGGUUUCAGUUUGGUGAUGGCAACGUCCUUAAGACUUCACUUGCUUCCCUCUCUCUGUUCUUUUGAGAGCGGGUCUCCACCAAGCAUUUUAGCAGGGUCUCACUCUGUCACCCCAGGCUGGAGUGCAGUGGCAGGAUGGCAGCUCACUGCAGCCUCGACCACCCUGGCUCAAGCUAUCCUCCCACCUCAGCCUAAGAGAAACUCUUGGAACGGAAAACCAAAUACCACAUAUCCUCAGUUAUAAGUGGGAGCUAAAUGAUGAGAACACGUGGACACAAAGAGGGGAACAGCAGACACCGAGGCCUACUUGAGGGUGGAAGUUGGGAGGAGGGAGAGGAGCAGAAAAGAUAACUUUUGGGUACUGGGCUUAAUACCCGGGUGAUGAAAUAAUCUGUACAACAAACCCCCAUGAGAUGAGUUUUCCUGUGUAACACCGAACCUAAAAUAAAAGCUAAAAAUAAAAUUAAGUUAAAAG
RNAcentral lists this long non-coding RNA (680 nucleotides) under Homo sapiens (human). RNAcentral describes it as "HSALNT0038695". Lineage: Eukaryota; Metazoa; Chordata; Mammalia; Primates; Hominidae. The record is from RNAcentral.